RNAcentral lists this ribosomal RNA (1046 nucleotides) under Enterococcus sp. Its description in RNAcentral is "bacterial SSU rRNA". The record is from RNAcentral. Lineage: Bacteria; Bacillati; Bacillota; Bacilli; Lactobacillales; Enterococcaceae.
GCAAGUCGAACGCUUUUUCUUUCACCGGAGCUUGCUCCAYCGAAAGAAAAAGAGUGGCGAACGGGUGAGUAACACGUGGGUAACCUGCCCAUCAGAAGGGGAUAACACUUGGAAACAGGUGCUAAUACCGUAUAACACUAUUUUCCGCAUGGAAGAAAGUUGAAAGGCGCUUUUGCGUCACUGAUGGAUGGACCCGCGGUGCAUUAGCUAGUUGGUGAGGUAACGGCUCACCAAGGCAACGAUGCAUAGCCGACCUGAGAGGGUGAUCGGCCACACUGGGACUGAGACACGGCCCAGACUCCUACGGGAGGCAGCAGUAGGGAAUCUUCGGCAAUGGACGAAAGUCUGACCGAGCAACGCCGCGUGAGUGAAGAAGGUUUUCGGAUCGUAAAACUCUGUUGUUAGAGAAGAACAAGGAUGAGAGUARAACGUUCAUCCCUUGACGGUAUCUAACCAGAAAGCCACGGCUAACUACGUGCCAGCAGCCGCGGUAAUACGUAGGUGGCAAGCGUUGUCCGGAUUUAUUGGGCGUAAAGCGAGCGCAGGCGGUUUCUUAAGUCUGAUGUGAAAGCCCCCGGCUCAACCGGGGAGGGUCAUUGGAAACUGGGAGACUUGAGUGCAGAAGAGGAGAGUGGAAUUCCAUGUGUAGCGGUGAAAUGCGUAGAUAUAUGGAGGAACACCAGUGGCGAAGGCGGCUCUCUGGUCUGUAACUGACGCUGAGGCUCGAAAGCGUGGGGAGCGAACAGGAUUAGAUACCCUGGUAGUCCACGCCGUAAACGAUGAGUGCUAAGUGUUGGAGGGUUUCCGCCCUUCAGUGCUGCAGCAAACGCAUUAAGCACUCCGCCUGGGGAGUACGACCGCAAGGUUGAAACUCAAAGGAAUUGACGGGGGCCCGCACAAGCGGUGGAGCAUGUGGUUUAAUUCGAAGCAACGCGAAGAACCUUACCAGGUCUUGACAUCCUUUGACCACUCUAGAGAUAGAGCUUCCCCUUCGGGGGCAAAGUGACAGGUGGUGCAUGGUUGUCGUCAGCUCGUGUCSUGAGAUG